GUCGGCCUCUGCUCUCGUGUCAGCAGUGAUGGGAGCAGAGGGAACGGCUUCAAGCUACGGCAGGGGAGAUUCAAGCUGGACAUGAGGAAGAAUUGCUGGUCAGAAAGGUGGGCAGCACUGCAAUGGAUGCCCAGGGAGGUGGGGGAGGCACCGAGCCUGGGGGUGUUGAAGGAAAGACUGGAUGUUGUGUUGACGGACAUGGUUCAGUGGGAGCUGUUGGGAAUGGGGGAACGGUUGGACUGGAUGGGCUUGGAGGUCUGAUCCAACCUUGAGGAUGCUGUGAUUCUAUGAUUCUAUGAUACUUAAGAGGAAAAACAGGGAUUUCUAUGAAAAUAAGCGAUAUUUUAGGGGAAAAACAGGGAUUUCUAUGAAAAUAAGCGAUAUUUAAGGUUAAAAACAGGGAUUUCUAUGAAAAUAAGCGAUAUUUGAGGGGAAAAACAGGGAUUUCUAUGAAAAUAAGCGAUAUUUUAGGUUAAAAACAGGGAUUUCUAUGAAAAUAAGCGAUAUUUAAGGUUAAAAACAGGGAUUUCUAUGAAAAUAAGCGAUAUUUUAGGGGAAAAACAGGGAUUUCUAUGAAAAUAAGCGAUAUUUUAGGGGAAAAACAGGGAUUUCCAUGAAAGUAAGCGAUAUUUAAGGGGAAAAACAGGGAUUUCUAUGAAAAUAAGCGAUAUUUAAGGUUAAAAACAGGGAUUUCUAUGAAAAUAAGCGAUAUUUAAGGUUAAAAACAGGGAUUUCUAUGAAAAUAAGCGAUAUUUUAGGGGAAAAACAGGGAUUUCCAUGAAAGUAAGCGAUAUUUUAGGGGAAAAACAGGGAUUUCUAUGAAAAUAAGCGAUAUUUAAGGUUAAAAACAGGGAUUUCUAUGAAAAUAAGCGAUAUUUAAGGUUAAAAACAGGGAUUUCUAUGAAAAUAAGCGAUAUUUUAGGGGAAAAACAGGGAUUUCUAUGAAAAUAAGCGAUAUUUUAGGGGAAAAACAGGGAUUUCUAUGAAAAUAAGCGAUAUUUAAGGUUAAAAACAGGGAUUUCUAUGAAAAUAAGCGAUAUUUAAGGUUAAAAACAGGGAUUUCUAUGAAAAUAAGCGAUAUUUAAGGUUAAAAACAGGGAUUUCUAUGAAAAUAAGCGAUAUUUUAGGGGAAAAACAGGGAUUUCCAUGAAAGUAAGCGAUAUUUUAGGGGAAAAACAGGGAUUUCUAUGAAAAUAAGCGAUAUUUAAGGUUAAAAACAGGGAUUUCUAUGAAAAUAAGCGAUAUUUAAGGUUAAAAACAGGGAUUUCUAUGAAAAUCAGCGAUAUUUAAGGGGAAAAACAGGGAUUUCUAUGAAAAUAAGCGAUAUUUAAGGUAAAAAACAGGGAUUUCUAUGAAAAUAAGCGAUAUUUAAGGGGAAAAACAGGGAUUUCUAUGAAAAUAAGCGAUAUUUUAGGUUAAAAACAGGGAUUUCUAUGAAAAUAAGCGAUAUUUAAGGUUAAAAACAGGGAUUUCUAUGAAAAUAAGCGAUAUUUAAGGUUAAAAACAGGGAUUUCUAUGAAAAUAAGCGAUAUUUUAGGGGAAAAACAGGGAUUUCUAUGAAAAUAAGCGAUAUUUCAGGUUAAAAACAGGGAUUUCUAUGAAAAUAAGCGAUAUUUAAGGUUAAAAACAGGGAUUUCUAUGAAAAUAAGCGAUAUUUUAGGUUAAAAACAGGGAUUUCUAUGAAAAUAAGCGAUAUUUCAGGUUAAAAACCGGGAUUUCUAUGAAAAUAAGCGACAUUUAAGGUUAAAAACAGGGAUUUCUAUGAAAAUAAGCGAUAUUUAAGGUUAAAAACAGGGAUUUCUAUGAAAAUAAGCGAUAUUUUAGGUUAAAAACAGGGAUUUCUAUGAAAAUAAGCGAUAUUUUAGGUUAAAAACAGGGAUUUCUAUGAAAAUAAGCGAUAUUUAAGGUUAAAAACAGGGAUUUCUAUGAAAAUAAGUGAUAUUUAAGGUUAAAAACAGGGAUUUCUAUGAAAAUAAGCGAUAUUUCAGGUUAAAAACAGGGAUUUCUAUGAAAAUAAGCGAUAUUUAAGGGGAAAAACAGGGAUUUCUAUGAAAAUAAGCGAUAUUUCAGGUUAAAAAGCGGGAUUUCUAUGAAAAUAAGCGACAUUUAAGGUUAAAAACAGGGAUUUCUAUGAAAAUAAGCGAUAUUUAAGGUUAAAAACAGGGAUUUCUAUGAAAAUAAGCGAUAUUUUAGGUUAAAAACAGGGAUUUCUAUGAAAAUAAGCGAUAUUUUAGGGGAAAAAUAGGGAUUUCUAUGAAAAUAAGCGAUAUUUAAGGGGUAAAACAGGGAUUUCUAUGAAAAUAAGCGAUAUUUAAGGUUAAAACCAGGGAUUUCGAUGAAAAUAAGCGAUAUUUAAGGUUAAAAACAGGGAUUUCUAUGAAAAUAAGCGAUAUUUAAGGUUAAAAACAGGGAUUUCUAUGAAAAUAAGCGAUAUUUUAGGUUAAAAACAGGGAUUUCUAUGAAAAUAAGCGAUAUUUAAGGUUAAAAACAGGGAUUUCGAUGAAAAUAAGCGAUAUUUAAGGUUAAAAACAGGGAUUUCUAUGAAAAUAAGCGAUAUUUAAGGUUAAAAACAGGGAUUUCUAUGAAAAUAAGCGAUAUUUUAGGUUAAAAACAGGGAUUUCUAUGAAAAUAAGCGAUAUUUAAGGUUAAAAACAGGGAUUUCUAUGAAAAUGAGCGAUAUUUAAGGUUAAAAACAGGGAUUUCUAUGAAAAUAAGCGAUAUUUAAGGUUAAAAACAGGGAUUUCUAUGAAAAUAAGCGAUAUUUAAGGUUAAAAACAGGGAUUUCUAUGAAAAUAAGCGAUAUUUUAGGGGAAAAACAGGGAUUUCUAUGAAAAUAAGCGAUAUUUAAGGUUAAAAACAGGGAUUUCUAUGAAAAUAAGCGAUAUUUAAGGUUAAAAACAGGGAUUUCUAUGAAAAUAAGCGAUAUUUUAGGGGAAAAACAGGGAUUUCUAUGAAAAUAAGCGAUAUUUAAGGUUAAAAACAGGGAUUUCUAUGAAAAUAAGGGAUAUUUAAGGUUAAAAACAGGGAUUUCUAUGAAAAUGAGCGAUAUUUAAGGUUAAAAACAGGGAUUUCUAUGAAAAUAAGCGAUAUUUAAGGUUAAAAACAGGGAUUUCUAUGAAAAUAAGCGAUAUUUAAGGUUAAAAACAGGGAUUUCUAUGAAAAUGAGCGAUAUUUAAGGUUAAAAACAGGGAUUUCUAUGAAAAUAAGCGAUAUUUAAGGUUAAAAACAGGGAUUUCUAUGAAAAUAAGCGAUAUUUAAGGUUAAAAACAGGGAUUUCUAUGAAAAUAAGCGAUAUUUAAGGUUAAAAACAGGGAUUUCUAUGAAAAUAAGCGAUAUUUUAGGGGAAAAACAGGGAUUUCUAUGAAAAUAAGCGAUAUUUAAGGUUAAAAACAGGGAUUUCUAUGAAAAUAAGCGAUAUUUUAGGGGAAAAACAGGGAUUUCUAUGAAAAUAAGCGAUAUUUAAGGUUAAAACAGGGAUUUCUAUGAAAAUAAGCGAUAUUUAAGGUUAAAAACAGGGAUUUCUAUGAAAAUAAGCGAUAUUUUAGGGGAAAAACAGGGAUUUCUAUGAAAAUAAGCGAUAUUUUAGGUUAAAAACAGGGAUUUCUAUGAAAAUAAGCGAUAUUUAAGGUUAAAAACAGGGAUUUCUAUGAAAAUAAGUGAUAUUUAAGGUUAAAAACAGGGAUUUCUAUGAAAAUAAGCGAUAUUUAAGGUUAAAAACAGGGAUUUCUAUGAAAAUAAGCGAUAUUUAAGGUUAAAAACAGGGAUUUCUAUGCAA
Molecule: long non-coding RNA, 3775 nt
Organism: Lagopus muta (rock ptarmigan)
Lineage: Eukaryota; Metazoa; Chordata; Aves; Galliformes; Phasianidae
Exons: 11
Source: RefSeq, a predicted model, not a curated record